AACACCAAAGGCAGAGUUGGCUUUACCUAAAGAGUACAGAUGUACCCAUUGACUUUUGAGGUAUACUACAAUACAGGAAGAGGGACUGCAUGCUUCUGAAGUUAGUGAAGGUGGCAGCCUCUGGAUGGUGGCCAAAGGAAGAUGGGAGGAAGAGGCAACUAAUGUUUUAAUGACAGCAUUGCAUCGAUGCAGUUGGUGUUAUCUCCAUUUAACCAAUGAAGAAAUCAAUGUGAACUGUUGGUAAGGCCAGGUCUGGCCUGAUGUGGAUUUUUGGCAAGAGAAAUUAUAUUUGCAGCUGGCUCCGUUUUGUGAAGGGUGAGUUUCUCUGGUCCUUUUCUGUUUAGUGGUACCACUUCAUGGCAACAAUUACCAGGAACCUUUCCUGCUUUUUAUGAAAGGCUGCCAGGAUGUCUUGGGCCUCAUGGUUUCAAACUGUGUUUCUGAGCAGAAUUCAGCAUCACUGGUAGAUAUUUUGAGACAAAGGUGAUAACAAUAUAUUUCUCAGGUACAUUUGAAGGAUCCCAUAAAAAAUAGGCUUUGGGACCAUGGUCCACUGUCAUGUUUGCUUGGCGUUUUCACUUGAUCAUGACAAAAUUAAAUUCUUAUUAGUGAUAUUAUUCCUUCCCUCGUCCUGAGCCAUGAACUGACUGUAUGUUCUCUGAAGCUACAGGGGCAUUUUUUCACUUUCUUUCAAGCAUCUUUCUUGGUAAGUCUCUUAUGUGGCCUGAUCUUUUAUCCAUUUGAUCUUCUAUCCAUUCAUUUAUCACUGUAUCUGGUCCCUAGCAGUUAAAAUAGAGAUUGGGCAAUAUGCAUAUUUUAUUAGAAUUUUGUUUCUCAUUUUGAAGUGUGCCUGUCAUAAGUUUAUCUGUAGCAAAUUAAGAGAUUUCUAUUUUUGCCAUGUAGUUUCUAAAAACUUCAGUUGGAAGAGCCUCACUUUUUUUUCCAAGUGAAGUACAAAUGGCUCCAAGCUAAUUGCCAAUACACUUGUUUCAUCUAGUUUUAAGACCAUUUGACAGAUACUUGAGGAGUUUGAGUACCACACAUUCAAAGUGACUGAUCCAUUUUGGUGAUUGGAUGUGCGGAAGUGCAGAUGUCACAGCAACGAUGAACAUAUUAUUUAACAUUAUAUAGAUGUGCCAUAAACACUAUGAGUACUGUCUAGGGGGGUACAUUUAUCUUAGUAUGUGUUUGAUUAGAUACUGGGUAGAGCAAGGUGGUUAAAUUUAGAGUUCUGACGUGAACUGUCUUACUAAAAUUAGUAAUACUAGAUUGUGUACUCACUAAAAGAACAGGUAACAUUUCUAAAGCAUAACAAAUAAAUGAAUGUUAUGUCUCACUGAAUAAAAAGUACAUAACCGUGGCCCAGAACUAAAAUAAAAACUGAAUGCCUAUCUGUUCAUCUGUUCUGAAUCAUGAGACACUCUGGAAUGUCAACUGAAAUGUUAACUAUUCUCUCCAUAUACAGUAUUUCCGCACCCUGCCCCCAAACCUGGAGUUUGUAAAAAAGCCUAGGCUAAACAAAACCCAAACCCCAAACAAACACAGUUUUGAGAAGAUCUCUGGAAGACAGAUUUAACAUUGUAUAUAAUUCCUGUGGAUUUUAAGAGGGAGACCUGAGUUUUUCUUCUUUUUUUUUGGAAUGGAAGUUGUCUUCAAGUUACAUGUUAGCAGGAAAGACCUUGUUUUGGCAAGAUGCCUUCAAUCAUUUUGUGCAUUUUCACAUUUAAUGUAGAUCAUGGCCUAGUACUGUCUGGGAAAUACUGUAGAUCUGUUUUUUACCUUUCUAUAAUUGAAUUAAAGACCAAUCCCUUACUUAUCCUGUACCAACUGCUGCUCAGUGGCUGGCAGCAGUAUCGGUGGCAUUUGACAGGAAAAUAAGCCAGUGUUUUCUGUUUCUUUUUUCUUUCUAGUCCUCCCUCCAUGUUUCUUAAUAAAGAUACCUGCUCAGUUUUGUCAUA
This is a long non-coding RNA of Passer domesticus (house sparrow), 1958 nucleotides long. RefSeq lists it as uncharacterized. The record is from RefSeq and is a predicted model, not a curated record. NCBI's taxonomy places the organism in Eukaryota, Metazoa, Chordata, Aves, Passeriformes, Passeridae. The transcript has 2 exons.